AUAGAACGCUGGCGGCAGGCUUAACACAUGCAAGUCGAGCGGAGAUGAGGUGCUUGCACCUUAUCUUAGCGGCGGACGGGUGAGUAAUGCUUAGGAAUCUGCCUAUUAGUGGGGGACAACAUUCCGAAAGGAAUGCUAAUACCGCACACGUCCUACGGGAGAAAGCAGGGGAACCUCGGACCUUGCGCUAAUAGAUGAGCCUAAGUCGGAUCAGCUGGUUGGUGGGGUAAAGGCCUACCAAGGCGACGAUCUGUAGCGGGUCUGAGAGGAUGGUCCGCCGCACUGUGACAGAGACGCGGCCCAGAAUCCUGCGGGAGGCAGCAGGGGGGAAUAUUGGACAAUGGGGGAAACCCUGAUCCAGCCAUGCCGCGUGUGUGAAGAAGGCCUUAUGGUUGUAAAGCACUUUAAGCGAUGAGGAGGCUACUGAGACUAAUACUCUUGGAUAGUGGACGUUACUCGCAGAAUAAGCACCGGCUAACUCUGUGCCAGCCGCCGCGGUAA
RNAcentral lists this ribosomal RNA (501 nucleotides) under uncultured bacterium. RNAcentral's name for it is "partial 16S ribosomal RNA". It matches the Rfam family "Bacterial small subunit ribosomal RNA", at positions 31 to 523 of the family's 1533-position model. The record is from RNAcentral.